This is a long non-coding RNA of Bombyx mori (domestic silkworm), 613 nucleotides long. RefSeq lists it as uncharacterized. NCBI's taxonomy places the organism in Eukaryota, Metazoa, Arthropoda, Insecta, Lepidoptera, Bombycidae. The transcript has 2 exons. The record is from RefSeq and is a predicted model, not a curated record.
UCAAUAAUACUACUAGAUUCGCGAUUAGCGCUUCAAAAACGGCCCGAAAAAUAAGACCACAAAUAAAUUUGUGGUCUUAUUUCAAAUUAGUAUGGUCCAAUCAUAGCCAACACUAAGACGUCAAAACGCUGCAAUGCGCGUUCAAAAACUGAGUAAAAAACCACCGUAACACCAAGGUUUUGGAAGGAAUAUCUUUUUUUGAUUUCCUAGUAGCCCCUUGUCGCUGUGCACAAUGGAUAUAUAUUGUCGCGAAAGAAAGAGGAGAAGAAAUAUAGAACCCUUAUAAAAAUUCUAGAAUUGUUCAAUGGUGGUGGCAAAUCAAUGCAAAAAAGUAUUAAAAAAACUUUAUAUGUAUGUGUAAAUAUUUUAAGCGUAUAUGCUGAAAAGGAUUUGUUUUCGGGGGGAAACGAACACAGCUAUAAAAUAAGCCUAAAUUAAACUGAUUAUAGAAAAAUUCAUUGAUAUAACAUUACAUUAUAUUUGUAAAAAAGAAACCGCUCAUAUAAAAAUGACUUCUAAAAGACAGCUUUAUAACAAACUGAAUCUGUUUAAAGGUAAUUAAACCUACAUUAUUGUUUUAAUUACUUCUGUAUAAAGAAUACGUGGAAAACAU